RNAcentral lists this ribosomal RNA (1481 nucleotides) under uncultured bacterium. Its description in RNAcentral is "16S ribosomal RNA". It matches the Rfam family "Bacterial small subunit ribosomal RNA". The record is from RNAcentral.
CUCAGGAUGAACGCUAGCGACAGGCCUAACACAUGCAAGUCGAGGGGCAUCGGGGCGAGGAGCAAUCCUUGCCGCCGGCGACCGGCGCACGGGUGAGUAACGCGUAUGCGACCUGCCCGUUGCAGGGGGAUAAUCGGGAGAAAUCCCGUCUAAUACCGCGUAAUGCCGCGGGGCUGCAUGGCCCUGCGGCCAAAGGAAGCGAUUCCGGCAACGGAUGGGCAUGCGUGACAUUAGCUAGUUGGCGGGGCAACGGCCCACCAAGGCGACGAUGUCUAGGGGUUCUGAGAGGAAGGUCCCCCACACUGGUACUGAAACACGGACCAGACUCCUACGGGAGGCAGCAGUGAGGAAUAUUGGUCAAUGGGCGCGAGCCUGAACCAGCCAAGUCGCGUGAGGGAUGACGGCCCUACGGGUUGUAAACCUCUUUUGUCGGGGAGCAAAUUCCGCCACGUGUGGCGGAGUCGAGAGUACCCGAAGAAAAAGCAUCGGCUAACUCCGUGCCAGCAGCCGCGGUAAUACGGAGGAUGCGAGCGUUAUCCGGAUUUAUUGGGUUUAAAGGGUGCGUAGGCGGACUGUCAAGUCAGCGGUAAAAUACGGGGGCUCAACCUCCGCCCGCCGUUGAAACUGACGGUCUUGAGUGGGCGAGAAGUAUGCGGAAUGCGUGGUGUAGCGGUGAAAUGCAUAGAUAUCACGCAGAACUCCGAUUGCGAAGGCAGCAUACCGGCGCCCAACUGACGCUGAAGCACGAAAGCGUGGGUAUCGAACAGGAUUAGAUACCCUGGUAGUCCACGCAGUAAACGAUGAAUACUAGCUGUCCGGGGCGAAUGAGCCCUGGGUGGCACAGCGAAAGCGUUAAGUAUUCCACCUGGGGAGUACGCCGGCAACGGUGAAACUCAAAGGAAUUGACGGGGGCCCACACAAGCGGAGGAACAUGUGGUUUAAUUCGAUGAUACGCGAGGAACCUUACCCGGGCUCAAACGACACAGGAACGUACCUGAAAGGGUUCGGCUCUACGGAGCCUGUGUCGAGGUGCUGCAUGGUUGUCGUCAGCUCGUGCCGUGAGGUGUCGGCUUAAGUGCCAUAACGAGCGCAACCCCCAUCGACAGUUGCUAACAGGUCAGGCUGAGGACUCUGUCGAGACUGCCGGCGCAAGCUGCGAGGAAGGCGGGGAUGACGUCAAAUCAGCACGGCCCUUACGUCCGGGGCGACACACGUGUUACAAUGGCAGGUACAGCGGGAAGCCACCUGGCGACAGGGAGCGGAACCCGAAAGCCUGUCUCAGUUCGGAUUGGAGUCUGCAACCCGACUCCAUGAAGCUGGAUUCGCUAGUAAUCGCGCAUCAGCCACGGCGCGGUGAAUACGUUCCCGGGCCUUGUACACACCGCCCGUCAAGCCAUGGAAGCCGGGGGUGCCUGAAGUGCGCUGCCGCGAGGAGCGCCCUAGGGUGAAACCGGUGACUGGGGAUAAGUCGUAACAAGGUA